Molecule: ribosomal RNA, 459 nt
Filed under: uncultured bacterium
Lineage: Bacteria
Description: partial 16S ribosomal RNA
Rfam family: Bacterial small subunit ribosomal RNA
Source: RNAcentral
CUACGGGCGGCAGCAGUAAGGAAUAUUGCGCAAUGGAGGCAACUCUGACGCAGCCAUGCCGCGUGCAGGAAGAAGGCCUUAUGGGUCGUAAACUGCUUUUAUUUAGGAAUAAACCCCCGAACGUGUUCGGGGCUGAAGGUACUAAACGAAUAAGCACCGGCUAACUCCGUGCCAGCAGCCGCGGUAAUACGGAGGGUGCAAGCGUUAUCCGGAUUUAUUGGGUUUAAAGGGUGCGCAGGCGGGCUAUUAAGUCAGGGGUGAAAUCCCGGGGCUCAACUCCGGAACUGCCAUUGAUACUGAUAGUCUUGAGUUUGGUUGAAGUGGGCGGAAUGUAGCAUGUAGCGGUGAAAUGCAUAGAUAUGCUACAGAACACCAAUCGCGAAGGCAGCUCACUAAGCCAAAACUGACGCUCAUGCACGAAAGCGUGGGGAUCAAACAGGAUUAGAUACCCGAGGAGUC